CCUGAACGCUGGCGGCGUGGCUAAGACAUGCAAGUCGUACGGAUGUAGCAAUACAUCAGUGGCGAACGGGAGAGUAAUGAAUCGCUAAUGUGCCCCGGACUCUGGGAUAGCUAGCCGAAAGGUUAGGUAAUACCAGAUGAUAUACCUUUAUCGCAUGAUAGAGGUCUCAAAGGUCCGCCGGUCUGGGAGCAGGCGAUUUCGUAUCAGCUAGUUGGUGAGGUAACGGCUCACCAAGGCGACGACGCGUAGCCGGACUGAGAGGUUGGCCGGCCUCAUUGGGACUGAGACACGGCCCAGACUCCUACGGGAGGCAGCAGUGGGGAAUAUUGGACAAUGGGCGCAAGCCUGAUCCAGCAAAUGCCGCGUGAGUGAGGAAGGCCUUAGGGUUGUAAAGCUCUUUCACCCGCGACGAUGAUGACGGUAGCGGGAGAAGAACGCCCGGCU
Molecule: ribosomal RNA, 444 nt
Filed under: uncultured bacterium
Lineage: Bacteria
Description: bacterial SSU rRNA
Rfam family: Bacterial small subunit ribosomal RNA
Source: RNAcentral